AACUUUAUGUAGUGGUAGUACUGUAGCUAAUGAAGUUUAGUUGAGGUGUAAUUAUAGCUUAUUGAAAACUUUUCCCAAUACCCCGCUCUAGUGACUUGCAACAAAGUUACUAUUAACAAUUUUUUAUAGUUUCUUUGGAGA
This is a small nuclear RNA of Carcharodon carcharias (great white shark), 141 nucleotides long. RefSeq annotates it as U4 spliceosomal RNA. NCBI's taxonomy places the organism in Eukaryota, Metazoa, Chordata, Chondrichthyes, Lamniformes, Lamnidae. The transcript has a single exon. The record is from RefSeq and is a predicted model, not a curated record.